CCUACGGGGUGCAGCAGUGAGGAAUAUUGGUCAAUGGGCGCGAGCCUGAACCAGCCAAGUAGCGUGAAGGAUGACUGCCCUACGGGUUGUAAGCUUCUUUUAUAAAGGAAUAAAGUGAGGCACGUGUGCCUUUUUGUAUGUACUUUAUCAAUAAGGCACGGCUAAUUCCUUGCCAGCAGCCGCGGUAAUACAGAGGAUCUGAGCGUUAUCCGGAUUUAUUGGGUUUAAAGGGAGCGUAGAUGGGUUGUUAAGUCAGUUGUGAAAGUUUGCGGCUCAACCGUAAAAUUGCAAUUGAUACUGGCCGUCUUGAGUACAGUUGAGGUAGGCGGAAUUCGUGGUGUAGCGGUGAAAUGCUUAGAUAUCACGAAGAACUCCGAUUGCGAAGGCAGCUUACUAAACUGCAACUGACAUUGAUGCUCGAAAGUGUGGGUAUCAAACAGGAUUAGAUACCCCUGUAGUC
This 460-nucleotide ribosomal RNA is filed under the name uncultured bacterium. RNAcentral's name for it is "partial 16S ribosomal RNA". It matches the Rfam family "Bacterial small subunit ribosomal RNA", at positions 338 to 795 of the family's 1533-position model. The record is from RNAcentral.